Chrysemys picta bellii (western painted turtle) is the source of this 1312-nucleotide non-coding RNA. Lineage: Eukaryota; Metazoa; Chordata; Testudines; Emydidae. The record is from RefSeq and is a predicted model, not a curated record.
GGAGGAGACCGGGUCAGUGGCUGAGGUGAGAACCCAGCUCAGAGCCCCAGGGAAGCAGCUCAGCAUGGUGCUAACUCUCCUUCCGCCUGUUCUGGCAGCCCCAUCCUCCCUUCAUCCUGAGCCCCGGAACGCUCAUGCCCUCCCUUCCCUUCUCUCUUACAGCCGCUCUGCAGAGUGUCCCUGAUUACAGGACAAGGCAGUAAUAGCGAGAGCCCAGGGACACCCUGAAGAGGAGUGGUAAAACCGCUCUUGCUGGUGCAGGCCUGCAGAAUCCUUCAUUGUAAUACAAUAAAUUACACCCAAUGUUUUCCUGCCCUUAAUGCACACCCGGAAACGACUAACCGUAUUCCAAACAGAUGCCUCCUCCUUUACAAUAUUGAAUCUAAAGAAAGCUGCCCUUGCCACAGCCAUUCGAGUGGGGCAGCUAUACCAGCAGGGGGACGUGUUAUGCUGUGUUACUAAUAAAGCCAAAAGCCAUUAUUGGCUAGUGUAUGCAAUUGUUGCUGUUUUAAUAAUUUGGUGCAUGCUGUAUUGCUGCUUAUGUAGAAGACCAAUAGUAACCCUGGCCACCGUAUCGGAAAUGUUGCUUCGUGGUCAAGGGGGGGGGGACUGUCACACCCCCAGGGCCCCCUCUCCGUAGGGAGCCCCCCGGGAAGGUAAAUCAGCACGGUAUAUUGCUAACGCCGUGGCAAGCGGAGGGUUAAAGGGGUGUAAGUGGAGAGUGAAAGUUUCCUUUGUAAGUAGGAGAGGCCGAAGGGGGGGGAAACGAAAAGCAAAGAAUGGGGUAAACUCAACACUGCAGCAGGUGAACUCAGCCCAAAAAUAAAACGCUGGCUCCCGCCCAAGGUCACGGCCCACAGCCAAGAAAAAUGAGGGCCCCAUAAAAAAAAAAUUCUCAACUAAACAACCACAAAGCUAUAAAUAACGGCAAAACCAGUAAAGGCCAAAACAAACGAAAAACACCCCAGUCUUCGAAGCCAGAAUGUCUUAGAAACUGGGGAGGCCACAGGCCUGUGCAAACUGGUCAACAAAGCGCCGGAAAAGAGGGCCCAAAACAAAAACACCCCCAAAAACUCCCAAAACUUAAAACCCUCCUAAAAGCUAAAGCAAUUUGGAGAACACAGCAGAUUCUUAAACGCCCUGGGCCCAGGACAGCACGCCUGUCCACCUUCCCCUUCUUUCUUCUGACGUUACACCCAGACCUGGCCAAGUCUGGGCAGUGCGUAUAUAAGUAGAAAAGUGGGUUAGGGCCUGGGGGCAUUAACGCUUUCUUUCUUCCCCUGAGUGCCGUGGGAACGGUCCCAGCACUCUC